UCAUCAACAUGUGCUCACUAUGAGUAACAAGUUAAGAAAAUGCGCUCACUUGGGGAAAGUAGGAAGAAAGCUUGAGGAGAUGAGCGAAGAAGGGCAGAUGAGUGAAGAAGGGUCAGAUAGAAGAUGCAGGCAGGAAGGAAGCUUGUCAGUGGUCGGAGGAGGACCAGGUGAGUGUGUCACUGAGGAGGCCAAGAAAGUUGAAAUUUUCAAGAUGAGAGAGAAUGGUCAAUGGCGGCCAGUGUCACAAAGAAUCCAAGUAAGGGAAGACCAGAAACAUGUCCACAGGAUUUGGCAGGUGAGCCUUGCCACAGCAAUUUCAGCUAAGUAAUGAGAACAGAAGCCUGGCUGAGAGAGAUUAAGAACGGACUUUACUGGAAGAUGAGAAAGAGCACCAUGAAGCAAAGUGAUAACACAAGGAGAAUGCAGCUCUGUCCUGGAAGGAGGGUUGACGACUGACAGAUGAUACAUGUUGAGUCAAUGGAAUGAGGCAGUUGCAGGCUAUUGUUGGAACAAAAGGAGGUCAAGUUUUAUUCUUUUCUCCUGCUGGGACAGAAGGAGUUGGUCACAACUUUUCUUUAAAAAAAAAGGAAAAGAGGAAUGCAUUCCUAAAUCAAGGCUUCCUGGGGCAGCGAGAACAAUUGCAGCACUCCUCAGCUACACUAUCUCUGUUAGUGGACAAACGCUGCUAACUUUUUAAGCUGAACUUGGAAUCUUCUUGGGCUUGAGCUGUCACUCUAAGAAAGUUCUUUAAAAUGCAGAUUAGCCACAGGCAUCUCAUUUUAUUAAUUUCCUCUUGGAAAUAACAAAAUGGCUAUGAAAAGACAAAACUGUGUACAUUCAUAAGGUUUUAUAUGGAGGUCUGUAGAAUGCAAUGAUCACGAAGUAAGUUUCCUAUCUGUAAAAAUGGCCUUGGAGUUCUUACCAGCUUGCUCUUCAAAACAAAAAAUAAAAAUAAAUAAAUUGUAUCAAAUCCAUCUUGGAGCAGAAGGUAAAUUGGAAAAAUACAAAAAGGCUGAGGAUUAAAUAAAUGCACUUCUUUGAAACAGAUGAUGACAUUUUCUAGGCCCAAUUCAGAUGAUGCAGAGCUUCCUUUUGCAAAGCAGCACGCUACGCAACAAAUGGCCUGACGGGCCUUUGGGUUUAAAUCUCAGCUGACAUCUCUCACCAAGUGUGGAAGAAUGAUUGCAUUAAUUCCCCAGUUCCUUGCUCCUUCCUGUAUCCAGGUUCUGACUACCAUCCCAGCCAUGUUACUUUCUUUGACCAAAGGGAUGUUAUCAAACAUGUCACAAGCAAAGAGAUUAGAAACUGUGAGUUUCCAUUUGUGUCUUUGCCCUCAACGACGGCCAUAAAAAUAUGCCAGAGCUAGUCUACUGAAUGAUGAGAGACAACUGGAACAUAGGUGAGAUCACCUGAUCAUCUCAUCCUAAACAAUCCUAAUCUGCUGACAGUCAGCUGACUUCCAGGCAUGUCAGGGAGCCCAGCUCAGACCAGAAGAACUGCCCAGCUGAGCUCAGCCUAAAUCACUAACCUGCAGACUUGUGAGCUGAAUAAACACUUAUUGUUCCAAGCCACCAGGUUUUGUGGUUAUUUAUUAUGAAGCAUUAUUGUGGCAAAAGAUAACUUAUAUACUACAUGAUACUGGAUGAAUCCCUUUACCCCACAAGCUUUAGUUUUCUUUAAUAUUCUCAUAUGCAAAAUGAGUGUACAUUUUCUUCUCAAAGUAGAUGUCACAAUUAAAUUCAUUAAAUUAAAUAAGGUAUAUGAAAUUAUUUAACACAAUCGUGGCACAUAACUGGCAUGUAAUCAAUGAGAGUUCCUUCUAUGCCUCACAUUCUUCCUUUAGAUCUCUCUCAUCAGAAGAAACGUCUUCUUAAUGUCCUCACUAUUAGUUUCCAUUCACCAGACACCACAUGAUUCAUAGUUGUGCGCUGUUUGGAGCACUGUGCUGGCAUCCAUUGGGUACGUCGCCAACACUAAACAGAAAGAUUCUUGUGAUACCUGGAAAAAUCCUGCGAUGUGCUUGAAAUUUCCCAGGUUAUUGCAAAGAUUCCAUUUACUUCAGAUCACAGCUCCAGGUUGAAGCCCAGAGAAAUGGCACUGACUUUCCCCUUCCUGAAGGCUGUCUCUGAAGAUACAAGCCCACGUUUCACUGUUUUACUUCUUCACUCCUCUAAUAACAUUUCUUGGGAUCACCUUUCACAGGAACUGCUUGUAUCCAAGUUUUUGCUGAGGUCUGCUUCAGGAAAAUCCAAACUUCAUCAAUCCCAGAUACCCAUCUUUCUAUGGAACC
RNAcentral lists this long non-coding RNA (2290 nucleotides) under Homo sapiens (human). RNAcentral's name for it is "LNC_000854". Lineage: Eukaryota; Metazoa; Chordata; Mammalia; Primates; Hominidae. The record is from RNAcentral.